UCAUAUACUUGGACAGGGAAC
Caenorhabditis elegans is the source of this 21-nucleotide non-coding RNA. The record is from Ensembl. NCBI's taxonomy places the organism in Eukaryota, Metazoa, Nematoda, Chromadorea, Rhabditida, Rhabditidae.